This 713-nucleotide ribosomal RNA is filed under the name uncultured beta proteobacterium. RNAcentral describes it as "bacterial SSU rRNA". It matches the Rfam family "Bacterial small subunit ribosomal RNA", at positions 51 to 757 of the family's 1533-position model. Lineage: Bacteria; Pseudomonadati; Pseudomonadota; Betaproteobacteria. The record is from RNAcentral.
ACACAUGCAAGUCGAACGGCAGCACGGGUGCUUGCACCUGGUGGCGAGUGGCGAACGGGUGAGUAAUACAUCGGAACAUGUCCUGUAGUGGGGGAUAGCCCGGCGAAAGCCGGAUUAAUACCGCAUACGAUCUAUGGAUGAAAGCGGGGGACCUUCGGGCCUCGCGCUAUAGGGUUGGCCGAUGGCUGAUUAGCUAGUUGGUGGGGUAAAGGCCUACCAAGGCGACGAUCAGUAGCUGGUCUGAGAGGACGACCAGCCACACUGGGACUGAGACACGGCCCAGACUCCUACGGGAGGCAGCAGUGGGGAAUUUUGGACAAUGGGCGAAAGCCUGAUCCAGCAAUGCCGCGUGUGUGAAGAAGGCCUUCGGGUUGUAAAGCACUUUUGUCCGGAAAGAAAUCCUUGGUUCUAAUAUAGCCGGGGGAUGACGGUACCGGAAGAAUAAGCACCGGCUAACUACGUGCCAGCAGCCGCGGUAAUACGUAGGGUGCGAGCGUUAAUCGGAAUUACUGGGCGUAAAGCGUGCGCAGGCGGUUUGCUAAGACCGAUGUGAAAUCCCCGGGCUCAACCUGGGAACUGCAUUGGUGACUGGCAGGCUAGAGUAUGGCAGAGGGGGGUAGAAUUCCACGUGUAGCAGUGAAAUGCGUAGAGAUGUGGAGGAAUACCGAUGGCGAAGGCAGCCCCCUGGGCCAAUACUGACGCUCAUGCACGAA